RNAcentral lists this transfer RNA (65 nucleotides) under Austinograea alayseae. RNAcentral describes it as "tRNA-Gly". It matches the Rfam family "tRNA". Rfam says of the family: Transfer RNA (tRNA) molecules are approximately 80 nucleotides in length. Their secondary structure includes four short double-helical elements and three loops (D, anti-codon, and T loops). The record is from RNAcentral. Lineage: Eukaryota; Metazoa; Arthropoda; Malacostraca; Decapoda; Bythograeidae.
AUUUUCUUAAUAUAUAAAGUAUAUUUGACUUCCAAUCAAAAAGUCUAGGUUACCUAGAGAAAAUA